GGCUAUAAUCAGGAUAAGCUGAAGAACUUGAGCAGAACUCUGCCUUCCUCAAACCUUAAGAGGCCAUGAAUGCAAAAAGCUAAAUCUGGACAGCCAAAUUACACCAGGGAUACUGCACUGAGGGGAAUUUAUCAAGAAGUGCCAAGGUUCAAGGACUGGUGUAAAGCCUUACAUCCAACAAUGAUCUGCAGGAUUGUGAGCCAUCCUUAGACAAGAAAUCAAUGUAUGCUUUCCAUGUUCUCCUCAACUUGCUGCCGUCCGGUACAGGGAAACAUAAAUGUACAUCAAGGGAUUUGACAAAGUUGUUUAUCGAAUUCAAGCUGGGAAGGAUCCAGAGGCAGCCAUUCCUGUUAUGCUUGGGAACGAUGGAUGACCCCCGGCAAUUUUUUGUUAUUUUGAAUACUGUUUGGACAACAUCACAUCUGCAGCUGAUCGGCUUUUCAAGCUGCACUAAGUCCUUAACAUACAUUAUGCGAAAGCCCUUAAAUUUUUUUAUAUCUUUUUGGAAAGUACAUGCAUAUAACAUUAAUUUGCCUGGAAGAAAGGUUCCAAAUAAAGUGGCAUAUUAAACUAAUUUCUAACCUGGCAGCACUCAAAUUAUAGGGAUCAACAAAUUAUCUAUCUCUGCAUCUUUUUGAUUUAGAUUUUAUUAUAAAAAUCCUAAUUUAAUUUUUUAUUUGUAUAUCUAGGGAUAGUACACCUGAUGUUAGCAUCAUAAUUGAUGAAAAGCAGCCACAUUAUUAUUAUUAUUUAUUAUUUUAAAUUUCCAUAUAAGCCAUAGCCUACUUGCACCUAAUGCUAAAAAACAUACAACCUGUCAACAUAAUGCAAGUUUGAGUAUCUACUGUAGUUGCUGCAGAACAGAUCCGCCAGAAUUAUAACUGAGACGAGGAAAUUUGACCACAUUACUCCAAUUCUACAACAAUUGCACUGGCUGCCUGUGUAUUAUAGGGUCGUUUUUAAGAUCCUUUUAAUCACGUAUAAAACGCUAAACGGUGAAGGU
Molecule: long non-coding RNA, 1003 nt
Organism: Anneissia japonica
Lineage: Eukaryota; Metazoa; Echinodermata; Crinoidea; Comatulida; Comatulidae
Exons: 3
Source: RefSeq, a predicted model, not a curated record